GCAUGAGUGAGUGUCAUUGUCGAAACCUGGCAUAGCAGAACGACCCGAGAACAUGUUUCAACGCUUGGGGGCGGAGGGUCUUGCGGCUCUGCGCCCCCUUAUCCUAGGAGGCAAGUGUCUUGCGUGUUGCAUUUCGGUGCUUUCGCUUGAUCGACCCUCCCAGGCGUACUGAACACCGGCGUGAAUUGCGCCAAGGAACUUGAAUGAAAGAGCGUUCCCCCGCCGUCCCGGAGACGGUGCUCGUGCGGGUGGUUUCGUCGUCUUCAAUAUGUCUAAACGACUCUCGGCAACGGAUAUCUCGGCUCUCGCAUCGAUGAAGAACGUAGCGAAAUGCGAUACUUGGUGUGAAUUGCAGAAUCCCGUGAACCAUCGAGUCUUUGAACGCAAGUUGCCCCGAAGCCAUUAGGCCGAGGGCACGUCUGCCUGGGCGUCACACGUCGUUGCCCCCCCCAACCCCUCGGGAGUUGGAUGGGACGGAUGAUGCCCUCCCGUGUGCUCAGUCACGCGGUUGGCAUAAAUACCAAGUCCUCGGCGACACAACGCCACGACAAUCGGUGGUUGUCAAACCUCGGUUUCCUGUCGUGCGCGCGUGUUGAUCGAGUGCUUUCUCAUACAAUGUGUGUCGAUCUCUCGAUGCUCUCA
RNAcentral lists this ribosomal RNA (642 nucleotides) under Rosa hybrid cultivar. RNAcentral describes it as "eukaryotic LSU rRNA". The stretch from base 279 to 433 matches the Rfam family "5.8S ribosomal RNA". Lineage: Eukaryota; Viridiplantae; Streptophyta; Magnoliopsida; Rosales; Rosaceae. The record is from RNAcentral.